Molecule: RNA transcript, 4494 nt
Organism: Betta splendens (Siamese fighting fish)
Lineage: Eukaryota; Metazoa; Chordata; Actinopteri; Anabantiformes; Osphronemidae
Gene: abhd18
Gene name: abhydrolase domain containing 18
Exons: 15
Source: RefSeq, a predicted model, not a curated record
GGCAGCAUGAGGCCACCUGACAACCACAGAAGAAGAAGAAGUCAGUGGCAGGUUGACAGACCUGCUUCGCCAGUUCGUCCUCCUCGGAACAGCAGCGCUGAACUCUUGAUACCGAAGACCGAACCGUCCCACUGUCAGGUAGAGGAGUAUUGUGUCCCUGUCAGCCGGGCGUCUGUCGCCUUCCCCCGCUCUCUGCUGUUCCUGACCCCGUGAUGACUGAAUCGAGCUAAGUUGGCUAAUGACGCUAGCUACAAGUUGAACUUCGGGCAGGAGCUUCUAGGUGCUGGUCCAUGGGUGUGAGUCGAUUGGAUAAAUUUUACAGAAGACUACUCCUUACCAAACUCUUCAUUGGAGGAUGGGGGACGCCGGAAGACCUGAAGAGAAUCUUUGAGUUUCGAAAAAUCAUUGGAAAUAGAGAACGUUGCAGGUCUCUGGUGCCUGAGAACUAUCCAGUGUAUAUAAACAAGACAGAGGACCACUCUGACUGUCAGAUUCACAAUGGCUUCUUCUUCUCUCCCCUGGAGCACCUGGUUCCUGGAAUCUUACCGCCAGAGGCAGUCAAAGCCAGGUUCCAGUUUAUAGUUCCUAAGAGAUGGAAAAAGAACAGAUCAGUAUGUAUCCACUUGGCUGGGACUGGAGACCAUUUUUUCUGGCGUCGACGGACCCUAAUGGCCAGACCCAUGAUUAAAGAGGCAGGAAUGGCUUCGCUGCUCCUGGAGAAUCCUUAUUAUGGCUAUCGUAAACCCAAAGACCAAUUGCGGUCCAGUCUAAAAAACGUGUCAGACUUAUUUGUGAUGGGAGGAGCUUUGAUCCUGGAGUCUACAGUUCUUCUGCAUUGGCUGGAGAGAGAAGGAUACUGGCCAUUGGGAAUGACUGGCAUCUCAAUGGGAGGAUAUAUGUCAUCUCUGGCAGUGACUAACUGGCCGAAGCCCAUCCCAUUAAUCCCAUGUUUGUCCUGGUCGACUGCCUCAAGUGUUUUUACCACGGGCGUGUUGAGUAAAGCAGUGAACUGGACAGAGCUGGAGAAGCAGUAUGCCAUUAACUCUGUUUAUGAAGAGGAGAUCAUUAAGCUGCUGGAGUACUGUGGGGCUGAUUCCUUUAAGAUGAAUACAGAGGUUGUGGUUGGCUCUGAGGAUGGUGGAGUUGGAGAUAGGAUAGACCAUUUAUUGUCAUCACAUGUUAACACCGAUGGAAUGAACUUGGACUCCCUACGAAAAAGCCUUCGUGCAGAAAACACGCUGCAUGAGAAAAAAACGGAUACCACCAAGUACUGUCGACCAUCAUUACACAAAGAGUCUAUAAGCUUCAUGAAGGGAGUAAUGGAUGAAUGUACACACAUGGCCAACUUCUCUGUCCCUGUAGACACCAGCCUCAUUAUCGUGGUCCAGGCCAAAGAGGAUGCUUACAUCCCUCGUACUGGGGUUCUAAGUCUGCAGGAGAUCUGGCCUGGAUGUGAGGUCCGGUAUCUCAAUGGAGGACACAUAAGUGCAUAUCUGUUUAAACAGAACGUCUUCAGACAGGCCAUUUAUGAUGCAUUCAACAGAUUCUGCCUGAAGUAUCCCAACCAGCAUUAGCAGUGGCAGGGCCAGUGUCUGGACAAUGGGAACGGCACUGCCACAAUGUGUCUGAGAUAUAAAGGUUCUCUGCACAUAAAGACCAUGGAUCUGUUGUAGCCACUCCUCCAGUUUGGGGGUCACUGCCCCCAGUGCUCCGAUCACCACAGGCACCACUGUGGCCUUCACCUUCCAAGCCUUCUCCAGUUCUUUUCUGGGUCCUUGGUAUUUCUCUAGUUUCUCAUGUUCCUUUUUCCUGAUGUUGCCAUCGCUUGGUAUUGCCACAUCCACCACUACGGCUUUCUUCUGCUCUUUGUCCACCACCACAAUGUCUGGUUGGUUCGCCAAUACCAUUCUGUCUGUCUGUAUCUGGAAGUCCCACAGGAUCUUGGCACGCUUGUUCUCUACCACUUGGGAGGUGUUUCCCAAUUUGACCUUGGGGUUUCCAGUCCAUACUCCACGCAGAUGUUCCUGUAUAUUAUGCCAGCCACUUGGUUAUGGCGUUCCAUUUAUGCUUUCCCUGCCAGCAUCUUACACCCUGCAGUUAUGUGCUGGACCGUCUCAGGGGCCUCUUUGUACAGUCUACACUUUGGGUCUUGUCUGGUGUGGUAGAUCUGGGCUUCUAUGGCUCUGGUGCUCACGGCCUGCUCCUGUGCAGCCAGGGUGAGUGCCUCUGUGCUGUCCGUCAGCCCAGCCCUUUUUUUUCACCGGGAUUUGUUCUUGCUAUUGAGCUGGCUUCUUAGGACUUGCCUUACUCGUUGGAGGUAUUUGGCUGUUGCCACAUUUCUUGUUGCCUGUUCAAGGUUGCCAUUCGCUUGUGGUAUUCCAAGGUACUUGUAACUGUCCUCAAUGUCUGCUAUUGUUCCUUCUGGGAGUGAGACCCCUUCUGUGUGGAUUACCUUGCCUCUCUUCGUCACCAUCCUCCCACAAUUCUCGAGUCCGAAUGACAUCCCAAUGUCUGAGCUGUAGAUCCUGGUGGUGUGGAUCAGUCGAUUUCUCGCUCAUUCUUGGCGUACAGCUUGAUGUCAUCCAUGUAGAGGAGGUGACUUAUGGUGGCCCCGUUUCGGAGUCGGUAUCCAUAGCCAGUCUUGUUUAUUAUUUGGCUGAGAGGGUUCAGACCUAUGCAGUACAACAGUGGGGACAGUGCAUCUCCUUGGUAUAUGCCACAUUUGAUGGAUACUUGGGCAAGUGGCUUCCCAUUGGCUUCAAGGGUGGUUCUCCACAACCUCAUCGAGUUUGCAAUGAAGGCCCCUAGAAUUCUAUUGAUGCUGUACAGCUCCAAGCAUUUAGUGAUCCAUGUGUGUGGCAUUGAGUCGUAGGCUUUCUUGUAGUCGAUCCAGGCUGUGCACAGGUUGGUGUGUCGCAUUCUGCAGUCUUGGGCGAGUGUUCUGUCUACCAGGAGUUGGUGUUUGGCUUCUCUGGUAUCCUUACCAAUGCCCUUCUGUGCUUCGCUCAUGUAUUGACCCAUGUGCCCACUUAUCUUAGCUGCGAUGAUGCCUGACAUGAGCUUCCAUGUUGUGGAGAGGCAGGUUAUUGGCCGGUAGUUGGAUGGGACUGUACCCUUUUUUGAGGGAUCCUUCAUUAUCAGGAUUGUUCGCUCUUCGGUUAGCCAUUCAGGGUGGGUCCCAUCCCUUAGCAGCUGGUUCAUUUGUGCUGCCAGGCGCUCAUGGGUUGCAGUGAGCUUUUUUAGCCUGUAGGCAUGGAUCAUGUCAGGGCCGGGUGCUGUCCAGUUUUUCAUACCUGAGACUCUGUUGGAUGUCUGCCACUGUGAUAGUCACAGGAUUCUGUUCAGGGAGGUUGCUGUGGUCUUCCCUCAGGUCCACCAGCCACUGUGCAUCACUGUUGUGUGAUGCCUUCCUUUCCCAUAUACCUUUCCAGCACUGUUCAGUUUCCAGCCUUGGUGGGUCUGCUCUGCUGUUAUUACCCUGCCAUUGAGAUACACUUCGCAGGUUGUGUUGCGAACAGCCGGUUUAUUCGUCUGGCUUUGUUGUCUCUUGUGUUUCUCUUUAGGCGGCUGGCCAAGGCUUGUAGCCUUUGCUUGGCAGUUUCGAGUGCUUCAGGUAUGGUCAUCUGGCUGUACCUUUUUUGGGCAUCGAUCAUUUCAUUGUACCUCUCUGGGCCUCUGUCAUUUGGCUCACUUCCCUCCGAGCUGCCUAGAUUUUUGCCUCCAACCUUCGUUUCCAUGGUGGGUAUUUUUUCACAUGUUUUUUCUCAUGCUGCAUUCACAUCUUCCAUGAGACUUUCUGAUGGUACUUCACUUAGUCGUUGUAGUUGGCUUCGGGUUUGCCUGUACAAUCUCGCCAUGAUCUUAUCUUUCAGCUCAGUCGCUGCCUCGUUCAGCGUAUCUGUGCUCAUUGGGGCUUCGUACCCAAUUUCCGGUUGGGGAGAUGGUGAAACCUCCCCUCUGACCUGGCGUCCUGGCUUCUCUAUUUGCCAUAGCAUUUGUGUUGUAUCUCGUCAUUCUCAAGUUGUGAUAGCAGUUGCCGUUUGUGGAUGUUGGAACACUGAGCUACUAGUUGCUUCGCAGUCAGCCUUGAAUGUGGGUUUCUCCCUUACCAUUCACCGCACAUUCUUUGCAUGUAACCCCUCUGACUAGGGUUUACUUGAGUAGUAGCAUUCCAACAGAGCCUUGUUCUCGCAUCUUAGCCAUUUCUUGGCUAAGAUGCGUGCUAAAGCUAAAAUUUCGUGGCUUGUUCCAGUAGCCCACUUUUCGCCAAGGUGCUCUGGUUCCCCAACACCUGACGCAGACCUUGUUAGAGUGGGCGACGUCUGAGCCGGUAUCUCAUAUGGUUCAUUGUCUCUCAUCAUUAUGAGGUAGGCGGUGGCUUGAAGGGUCUUGCCCAAGGACCCACACUGGAUGCUUAUUCGCCUUAACGAGGAUUUGAACCGGGGACCACCCGGUUAUUUUAUAUAUAUAUAUAUAUAUAUAUAUAUAUAUAUA